Molecule: transfer RNA, 75 nt
Filed under: Candidatus Amesiibacteriota bacterium
Lineage: Bacteria; Candidatus Amesiibacteriota
Description: Candidatus Amesbacteria bacterium (sediment metagenome) tRNA-Lys
Rfam family: tRNA
About the family: Transfer RNA (tRNA) molecules are approximately 80 nucleotides in length. Their secondary structure includes four short double-helical elements and three loops (D, anti-codon, and T loops). Further hydrogen bonds mediate the characteristic L-shaped molecular structure. tRNAs have two regions of fundamental functional importance: the anti-codon, which is responsible for specific mRNA codon recognition, and the 3' end, to which the tRNAs corresponding amino acid is attached (by aminoacyl-tRNA synthetases). tRNAs cope with the degeneracy of the genetic code in two manners: having more than one tRNA (with a specific anti-codon) for a particular amino acid; and 'wobble' base-pairing, i.e. permitting non-standard base-pairing at the 3rd anti-codon position.
Source: RNAcentral
GGGGCGUUAGCUCAGUGGUAGAGCAGCUGCCUUUUAAGCAGUUGGUCGAAGGUUCGAUCCCUUCACGCCUCACUA